UACGAAGGGGGCUAGCGUUGCUCGGAAUCACUGGGCGUAAAGGGUGCGUAGGCGGGUCUUUAAGUCAGGGGUGAAAUCCUGGAGCUCAACUCCAGAACUGCCUUUGAUACUGAAGAUCUUGAGUCCGGGAGAGGUGAGUGGAGCUGCGAGUGUAGAGGUGAAAUUCGUAGAUAUUCGCAAGAACACCAGUGGCGAAGGCGGCUCACUGGCCCGAUACUGACGCUGAGGCACGAAAGCGUGGGGAGCAAACAGG
This 253-nucleotide ribosomal RNA is filed under the name uncultured bacterium. RNAcentral describes it as "partial 16S ribosomal RNA". It matches the Rfam family "Bacterial small subunit ribosomal RNA", at positions 524 to 776 of the family's 1533-position model. The record is from RNAcentral.